GACAGAGGGGGCAAGCGUUGCUCGGAAUUACUGGGCGUAAAGGGCGCGUAGGCGGGAUGGCAAGUCGGUCGUGAAAUCCCUCGGCUCAACCGAGGAACGUCGAUCGAUACUGCUGUUCUUGAGGAUUGCAGAGGAGACUGGAAUUCCAGGUGUAGCGGUGAAAUGCGUAGAUAUCUGGAGGAACACCGGUGGCGAAGGCGGCAUCCUGGACCAAUUCUGACGCUGAGGAGCGAAAGCCAGGGGAGCAAACGGG
RNAcentral lists this ribosomal RNA (253 nucleotides) under uncultured bacterium. RNAcentral's name for it is "partial 16S ribosomal RNA". It matches the Rfam family "Bacterial small subunit ribosomal RNA", at positions 524 to 776 of the family's 1533-position model. The record is from RNAcentral.